CUCUCGCACACGGUUGAAUUUUUUUACUUUCGCCCCUUGUCAUUCAAUGUACUAUUUAUUUGUCUUGUAUAGUUUCACUUCUGAAACUUACAAGACAAAAAGGCAAAUUUGGUACGCACCUGUAGAGUGCGGACAAACAAACGCUGGAGUGAUUUAUGAUGUUCCCAAAACGGUGAUUACUCCGCACACCGUUUAUAAUCAAGGAUUACCUUCUUGGUAUCCACGAAUACAACGACCACCAACAGAUACAAUUCUUGCCAGCCCUAUCGAUCCAAACACAUUGAGACGUUGUCAACCUGAUCAAUUUCAAUGUUCAUCGCCACUACAAUGCUUUGAAUCUACAGCGCAUUGUGAUGGUAUAGUCCACUGCGUUGACGGAAGCGACGAAGCAGAUUGUACAUGCACUGAAAAAAUUGAUCGAAGUAGGAUCUGUGACAAUUAUAUCGAUUGUCCAGAUGGCAGUGAUGAAGUUGGAUGCUUCGGAUGUGAACAUAAUUUAUACUCAUGUCAUUAUAACGAGGAAGAAUUCAUGAACAACUCCGGUCAGUCGAUGUGUUACACUGACGCUGAGAUAUGCGACGGAAUGCGACAUUGUUCUAACGGGAAAGACGAAAGCCAGUGUCUAUUGUUGGUAUCAAAAAUAACAUCAAAACCAGAACCAUUCGUGAGAAGCACCGAUGGAUAUCUAUACAUAAAUUACGAAAACGAAUGGUAUCCGGUGUGUGUGGACCUAUUCAACUGGACAAGUGAAGUUUGUCUAAAUGAGCAGGGCUUUGAGUUAAGCAAUUUUGUUUGGCAGUAAUGACCCAACUACUUCGUACGAGCAGUCCAACUAUAAAGGCAAAUACAUAACGAGUGUAAGACUGUUGAGUGGCGUUAAAAAACAAAUAGUUGACAAUUGUUCUAUACCCGGAGUGGAAUCUGCCAAUGCUAUUCUCCGUGUAAAAUGUCCUUAUGUCUGUGGGAAAACGUUCCAUAUCGAAAAUAACAUUCACCGAAACAUGAGAAUUGCCGGUGGCAAAGAAGCAACAUCUGGUUCACAUCCUUGGCUCGUGAGUUUACACCUGAAUGGAACGUUCGUGUGUGGAGGUAGUAUCAUCGAACAAAAAUGGAUCUUAACAGCAGCUCAUUGCUUGUUAGUGAAUAUGAAAAGGAAUGUAGGGCAAUAUGAUUAUGUGGACAUAAGAGCGGGAAUUCUUCGUCAAAAUAGCUUCUCAGCGCAUGAGCAAGCUGUCCGCGUUAUGAAAGUCUACAUACAUAGUGGCUUCGAUUUGAAAACCCUUGGAAGUGAUAUCGCUCUCUUAGAACUCGCUAAACCGUUACGAUACAAUCGUUGGGUUCGCCCUAUUUGCUUGCCAACACAAGGAAUGAUCAUCAACGAUAGCGUUCAUGAUUUGACAAAGAAUUAUGAAAACAUGACUUGUUUAGCAGCGGGCUGGGGCUCAUUUACGUAUCGAGGACAAAUUCCAGUUGACAAUGCUAAUGAAGUACAAUUGUCAAUAGUCCGAGUUUGCGAUCCAACCAAUCCUACUGUUUUUUUGCGCUGGAUACACGAGAGGUGGAUUUGACACCUGCUACGGUGAUUCCGGUGGACCAUUUGUAUGUACGAGUGACACAAAUCGCACAAAUUAUUUCUUGGCCGGUAUCACCAGUUACGGCUACAACCCUACUUUAUCAGACAAAGAAAUGGUGCGAUGUGGAGAGCCAGAUUCUUAUACGGCUUUCACGCGAAUGACAAUGUUCAGUACGUAUAUAGACGAAAUAAAAAUGUAUGCAAGUGGUUCAGUGGCUUUACGUGGCAAGUGCCCGGGAAGACGAUGCAGGUCCAAUAGACGAUGCGUUCGAGCACUUGAUGGCAUAGUCGACUGUCUAGCGGGUGAAGAUGAAAGAAAUUAACUUGAGCAAAGAAAAACAAUCGAGGUUGUUGAAUGUUGUGCUUACUUUUUUCUUAAUAGAUUUUCUCUGUAAACUACA
This is an RNA transcript of Bradysia coprophila, 1974 nucleotides long. It is a transcript of the gene named serine protease ndl-like, with no coding region annotated. The record is from RefSeq and is a predicted model, not a curated record. NCBI's taxonomy places the organism in Eukaryota, Metazoa, Arthropoda, Insecta, Diptera, Sciaridae.